This 394-nucleotide ribosomal RNA is filed under the name uncultured bacterium. RNAcentral describes it as "bacterial SSU rRNA". It matches the Rfam family "Bacterial small subunit ribosomal RNA", at positions 97 to 507 of the family's 1533-position model. The record is from RNAcentral.
GGCGGACUGGUGAGUAACACGUAAGCAACCUGCCUAUCAGAGGGGAACAACAGUUGAAAUGACUGCUAAUACCGCAUAUGCCUAAAGUACCACAUGGGUACAAUAGGGAAAGGAGCAAUCCGCUGAUAGAUGGGCUUGCGUCUGAUUAGAUAGUUGGUGGGGUAACGGCCUACCAAGUCGACGAUCAGUAGCCGACCUGAGAGGGUGAUCGGCCACAUUGGAACUGAGAAACGGUCCAAACUCCUACGGGAGGCAGCAGUGGGGAAUAUUGGGCAAUGGGGGAAACCCUGACCCAGCAACGCCGCGUGAAGGAAGAAGGUCUUCGGAUCGUAAACUUCUAUCCUUGGUGAAGAUAAUGACGGUAGCCGAGAAGGAAGCCCCGGCUAACUACGUG